This 71-nucleotide transfer RNA is filed under the name Camelus bactrianus (Bactrian camel). It matches the Rfam family "tRNA". Rfam says of the family: Transfer RNA (tRNA) molecules are approximately 80 nucleotides in length. Lineage: Eukaryota; Metazoa; Chordata; Mammalia; Artiodactyla; Camelidae. The record is from Rfam by way of RNAcentral. RNAcentral also lists the same sequence under 2 other names.
AGAGUAUAGCUCAGUGGUGGAGUGUGAGCUUGGCAUGCACGAGGUCCUGGGUUCAAUCCCCAGUGACUCCA